Molecule: long non-coding RNA, 561 nt
Organism: Cucumis melo (muskmelon)
Lineage: Eukaryota; Viridiplantae; Streptophyta; Magnoliopsida; Cucurbitales; Cucurbitaceae
Exons: 3
Source: RefSeq, a predicted model, not a curated record
GGAGGAUGUUCAGAAUGACCAUAUUAAUAUAGUAGAAGUUGUUGUAAGCCACCAAGUGGAUGACCACAUCGAGGAUGACACUCUAUGCAGAAAUGACGUUGAUCCCACAAUCGUUGAAAGACCGGUUGUGCGUCAUGUCACUGACGACUUCAUCGACGAUGUGGAUGAACACUUGUCACAUGCAAGCGAUGAGGAAUUAUAGUGACAAAUUAAACCACUCAUUAUGUCAUAUCGACGAUCAAAUUUUAUGGAGACGGACGAUAUGUUCCUCCAGUUUGAGGAGGAUUUAGAUAACAUUGCGGGAGGGUCGUCAUCUGUGGGCGACAAUACGGAGUCUUCUUCUCAACAAACGACUCCGACUCCUAGGAGACGUGCGCAGUCUCGACUCUUGGAGUUAGAGCGCCACGUUGCAAUAAAUGGGCGCAUUCCGAUGACGAUCGCCCUUGGAGCGGAGAAGCCUAUUUCUCCACACGUCGUUCGCUUCAGCCAGGCGAUAGGCGUGUGCGUGCGAAGACAUUUCCCGUCCGCUGUCUUAAGUGGGCGGACGUUGGGAGAGAAUAC